UGGGGAAUAUUGGACAAUGGGGGGAACCCUGAUCCAGCCAUGCCGCGUGUGUGAAGAAGGCCUUAUGGUUGUAAAGCACUUUAAGCGAGGAGGAGGCUCUCUUGGUUAAUACCCAAGAAGAGAGGACGUUACUCGCAGAAUAAGCACCGGCUAACUCUGUGCCAGCAGCCGCGGUAAUACAGAGGGUGCGAGCGUUAAUCGGAUUUACUGGGCGUAAAGCGUGCGUAGGCGGCUUUUUAAGUCGGAUGUGAAAUCCCCGAGCUUAACUUGGGAAUUGCAUUCGAUACUGGGAAGCUAGAGUAUGGGAGAGGAUGGUAGAAUUCCAGGUGUAGCGGUGAAAUGCGUAGAGAUCUGGAGGAAUACCGAUGGCGAAGGCAGCCAUCUGGCCUAAUACUGACGCUGAGGUACGAAAGCAUGGGGAGCAAACAGG
Molecule: ribosomal RNA, 430 nt
Filed under: bacterium
Lineage: Bacteria
Description: partial 16S ribosomal RNA
Rfam family: Bacterial small subunit ribosomal RNA
Source: RNAcentral